AAAAAAGAAAAGAAAAGAAAAGGUUUUAGUAGAAGCUGUCUUUUCAAAAUGUAGUAUUUUCUCGCCUACCCCCAAGAAUGCAUCUUGUAUUUCCAAAGGCCCCGUGUCAAGCUGUUGUAUCAGUCAUCCUAACACAUGGUCUCAGACAGUGAUUGCAAGGAGAGUCAAGGGCUUGAUUUGUCCCUACUACAUAGCACAGCUUGAAAUCUUAAGAUCCUUCGUAUCCUGGGUUCGCAUUCUCUGCUUUGCCACGUUGCCACAGACUGAGCAUUUCACAUUGAGGUCAUCCAGCCCUUGAUGCCAACUGACUUCCAGCCCUUGUUUGCAGCUGGCUUUCAAAGCCUUCUCCGGGCAGUCUACUGUGGUCAUGUCCAUCACUCAGAUAAACAGCAGCAGUGCGUAUGUUCUGUAAAUAGCCACAAGUGAGACCUGAAAUCAGCCUCUUUCAUCUGAAUCCAGGGGCAGCAAGCUGAGGGGUCUUUGGGCUGCUGGGCUGAUUCUAUAAGAACCCCUCUGGUUCGGAGCUGCAGGAGUCCCUCCCAUUUAUAUUGGUGUUCCUCUUUUACCAUUUUGGCUUCUUGCUCAUACCUAUUUUCUCUUAGUUCCAAUCUCAGCGAAUGGAAUAGAUUCUACAAAGUCAAGCAGAAUAUUCCCUCUUGUCUGACUUCUCACAAGUAUGCUAAGAAACGUACAGCUUCACCAGAUGGGCUCGUGGCAAAGUGGGAAAAGAUAUGUACAAGCACGACUACAGCACCAACCUGAUUGAAGACACAAUCACUAAACACAAGCCUGGAUUAUGGCAGUCAUCUUCUUCCCAGGGUUUCUCAAGCCAUCUG
Sus scrofa (pig) is the source of this 836-nucleotide non-coding RNA. The record is from RefSeq and is a predicted model, not a curated record. NCBI's taxonomy places the organism in Eukaryota, Metazoa, Chordata, Mammalia, Artiodactyla, Suidae.